UGGAGGGGGGAGGGAAUGGCGGAUGGGAUCGCCAAGCGCGCGCGGCCGGCGUGGCUCCAGCAGUACGAGCUCCUGGGGAAGAUCGGGGAGGGCACUUACGGCCUCGUCUACCUGGCCAAGAGUAAGCUCGUGUCGAAUCGAGGCGUGAAGAUCGCGAUUAAGAAGUUUAAGCAGUCCAAGGAGGGCGAUGGCGUCUCCCCGACCGCGAUUAGGGAGAUUAUGCUGCUAAGGGAAUGUAUGCACGAGAAUGUCGUCAAACUCGUCGAUGUGCACAUCAAUCACGCGGAUAUGUCUUUGUAUUUGGCAUUUGAGUAUGCCGAGCACGAUCUUUAUGAAAUUAUUCGUCACCACCGUGAGAAGCUACUUUUCCAGAUCAAUCCCUACACCGUCAAGUCUUUGCUGUGGCAAAUUUUGAAUGGAAUCAAUUACCUUCAUAGUAACUGGAUUAUUCAUCGAGAUCUCAAACCAUCAAACAUAUUAGUUAUGGGAGUGUCGGGGGACGGUGACGAGCAAGGACUUGUCAAAAUUGGUGAUUUUGGACUCGCAAGAAUUUAUCAGGCGCCAUUGAAGCCUUUAUCUGACAAUGGGGUCGUUGUUACGAUAUGGUACAGGGCACCCGAGCUUCUUCUCGGAGCUAAACACUACACCUGUGCUGUCGAUAUGUGGGCAGUAGGAUGUAUUUUUGCGGAGCUUUUGACCUUGAAGCCUCUCUUCCAGGGUGCAGAGGAUAAAACAGGCCCAAAUCCGUUUCAGCUGGACCAACUUGACAAAAUUUUCAAAGUCUUAGGUCAUCCGACAACAGAAAGAUGGCCGAUGCUUUCCAAUUUGCCGCAUUGGUUAGCUAACCGUCAGCUAAUCCAGAGUCGAAAGUACGAUAAUCCUGGUUUGCACACCGUCGUCAAUCUCCAACCGAAGGGCCUAGCAUUCGACUUGCUAUCACGAAUGCUCGAGUAUGACCCAGUAAAGCGUAUAACUGCAGCACAAGCGCUGGAUCACGAAUAUUUCCGAAGCGAUCCCCUCCCUGGUCGAAAUGCACUUGUCUAUGGCCAACCCGGCGAGAAAGUUGUGCAGUACCCUGCGCGUCCCGUGGAUAGCUCCACGGAUUUCGAAGGCAGUGGCUCCAUCCAAAACACCCAGAUGAUGUCGACCUCCAACUCGCUCCCCGCGUCAGCAGCAUCAGCUGCCGCAGCUAGUGCGACUGCAAAUGCGGUUCGUCCCAUGCACCACCAGCAGAUGCCCUUGGUCGGAAUGCAGAGGCUACAAACUGCGAGCAUGGGAGCUUUCAACGUGGGCGCUCAGCCAGCCAUGGCCGGCCUCGCCGCGAAUAUGUUCGUCCAGAGAGGCCAGCAGCUCCAGCAGGUUGCUCAUCACCAACAACAGCAGCAGCAGCAGCAGCAGCAUCAACACCAUCAACACCAGCAACACCAGGGAAGGAGGAGAGACGCGAUGCAAAACCCGAAUUAUCAACCUCCCAUGAAGUCGCGACGAAUGUAGCCAAGCAAGCAGCAGCGCAUUCGUUUUUGUCCCAGAAAGAAUUUUCACCCGCUGGACAGACUUUUAUCCGCUGAAUAUCCAGAUUUAAAGAUUCGGGGGAUCUUUCCUGCCCUUCAGGGUGACGGCCGUGGCAGCCCGUCAUUCGGUUUGAAGAGGAGAAGGGCGCGUGUGCUGGUUCUUGGCGAGCACGAGCAAGCAGGCAGGCAAGCAAGCAAAAGCACGUCUUUUCCAGUGGAAGCAAGUACAGCACGCUUGCUUGCUUCGUUUUUCUUCUUUCCUUCUUCUUCUUGUGGGGUCUCUCCUAUCACCAAAAAAGAAAGCAAACCAGGAGAAGAGAUUAAAGAACCAUAAAAAAAAAGAAAGAAAACUCUUGAUCUUGA
RNA transcript from Selaginella moellendorffii, 1874 nucleotides. It is a transcript of the gene named cyclin-dependent kinase E-1, with no coding region annotated. NCBI's taxonomy places the organism in Eukaryota, Viridiplantae, Streptophyta, Lycopodiopsida, Selaginellales, Selaginellaceae. The transcript has 16 exons. The record is from RefSeq and is a predicted model, not a curated record.